This 832-nucleotide long non-coding RNA is filed under the name Gallus gallus (chicken). The record is from RNAcentral. Lineage: Eukaryota; Metazoa; Chordata; Aves; Galliformes; Phasianidae.
GGAGGAAGCUGCACUAUUUAAAAGCAGAAUGUGCAAAAAGCUGAUCUGCCUGGAGAUGAGGAGCAGAUAGGAACCGAGAUACCAGGAGGCAGAGAGAGAGUGAUGGAAGAAGGAAAUGGGAGAACUACAGUGAUAAAGACAGUAAAUGGCACACGAAAAAGGAGGUGAAGAAAUUCUGAGCCAGCAAGAAUAAAAAAAGAAGAAUAGAUGAUGAAAUGUUGGCAACUGUGAGGAAGACUGAAGGAUACACUCAAACUAGAAUUUAUGCACAGCUUCCCACAGCAACCAUUUCGUGUGCACCUACGCCUUCCCUAAGAGAAGUCCCUCAGCUGCAGGGCAGACCAGACAUUAGUUUGUGUUCACUCUCAGUUCGUUUAUCACCAUGGAACAAUGGCAGCAGUAGCAGACAAGGGGGAAAAAGAUGUUCACAGCAGAGGUGAGAAGCCUUGGCGGCAGUAACAGAAAGAAGUCAAAAUAAGUAAGAACAACUAUACUGUCGCAGUGUUUGAGCAUCAGAAACUAAUUUAAGACCUUUGAACGCAAUUCCAGAGGUGCUACCACAGGACUGCUCAGAUGCAGGGAAGAAACAAAGGAGUUAACUGAAGAGCAAAAUGCCUGUGAGCAACAAGACCUUUUCUGUUUCAAAGGAAAAUUCCAUGCUUUCCCUUCUGGUUGGGCGGCCGUAGCGGAUAUGCUUUUGGAGUACAGCAUGUACAGUGCAUAAGCAACUAUUGGCAUUCAUGGUUGGCUUCCAAAUCAGCAGUGCUUAAAAAUACAAAGUGCAAACUCGGUUCUUCUAUCCUGGCUUUUGUUGUUGCUGUUUUUGUUGCUC